CCUACGGGUGGCAGCAGUGAGGAAUAUUGGUCAAUGGCCGGAAGUCUGAACCAGCCAUGCCGCGUGAAGGUCAGUGCCCUAUGGGCGUUAAACUUCUUUUGUGCGGGAGCAAUAAUGGUCACGUGUGGCCAGACGAGAGUACCGUACGAAUAAGCAUCGGCUAACUCCGUGCAAGCAGCCGCGGUAAUACGGGGGAUGCAAGCGUUAUCCGGAUUUAUUGGGUUUAAAGGGGGCGUAGGCUGUGAGGUAAGUCAGCGGUGAAAUGCCCCCGCUCAACGGGGUGAAGUGCCAUUGAUACUGCCUUGCUUGAAUGCGGAUGCCGUGGGAGGAAUGUGUGGUGUAGCGGUGAAAUGCAUAGAGAUCACACAGAACACCGAUUGCGAAGGCAUCUCACGAAUCCGCGAUUGACGCUGAUGCACGAAAGCGUGGGUAUCAAACAGGAUUAGAUACCCUUGUAGUC
This 460-nucleotide ribosomal RNA is filed under the name uncultured bacterium. Its description in RNAcentral is "partial 16S ribosomal RNA". It matches the Rfam family "Bacterial small subunit ribosomal RNA", at positions 338 to 795 of the family's 1533-position model. The record is from RNAcentral.